UACGUAGGGGGCAAGCGUUGUCCGGAUUUAUUGGGCGUAAAGAGCGUGUAGGCGGUUUGUCGCGUCUGCUGUGAAAUCUCAAGGCUCAACCUUGAGCUUGCAGUGGGUACGGGCAGACUAGAGUGUGGUAGGGGAGACUGGAAUUCCUGGUGUAGCGGUGAAAUGCGCAGAUAUCAGGAGGAACACCGAUGGCGAAGGCAGGUCUCUGGGCCACUACUGACGCUGAGAAGCGAAAGCAUGGGGAGCGAACAGG
Molecule: ribosomal RNA, 253 nt
Filed under: uncultured bacterium
Lineage: Bacteria
Description: partial 16S ribosomal RNA
Rfam family: Bacterial small subunit ribosomal RNA
Source: RNAcentral